Molecule: ribosomal RNA, 429 nt
Filed under: Triticum aestivum (bread wheat)
Lineage: Eukaryota; Viridiplantae; Streptophyta; Magnoliopsida; Poales; Poaceae
Description: partial small subunit ribosomal RNA
Source: RNAcentral
AUGGCAGAUCCAGGUGCUGACCCAGUUGCUCUGCCGAUCGUGCCUUGUCCGGACUGCGGCAGGAACGUGGUCACCUACAUAGCGCGGCGCGGGCAGAACGCCGGCCAGCGAUUCUACAAGUGCCGGAAUCACAACCCAUCAGGGGUGGAUGCGAUUUCUACAGAUGGGAGGAAGCCUACGCGGCGCAUGUUGCGACUUUUGGAGGAGCAGCACAUCCAGUGUGGCAAAUCGGGGCAGGUCAGAUGCAGGGCGGGCAGGCGGCUGGAGCUCAAGUUGUGCAGGCGCCGCAGGUUCAUCCGGUUCAGCAAAACGGAGCGCCGGAGGCGUCGCAGGCUGCAUCCUUUGCAAGUACAGUCGCAGGAUACAUGCUGGCAGCGGCUCCAGUUGCGGGUCGUCAGGGUGCCAAAGUCGACGAUGCUGCAUCCAUAA